UACGAAGGGGGCUAGCGUUGUUCGGAAUCACUGGGCGUAAAGCGCACGUAGGCGGAUUUGUUAGUCAGGGGUGAAAUCCCGGGGCUCAACCUCGGAACUGCCUUUGAUACUGCAGAUCUCGAGUCCGGAAGAGGUGAGUGGAAUUCCUAGUGUAGAGGUGAAAUUCGUAGGUAUUAGGAAGAACACCAGUGGCGAAGGCGGCGCACUGGUCCGGUACUGACGCUGUGGUGCGAAAGCGUGGCGCGCAAUUAGU
This 253-nucleotide ribosomal RNA is filed under the name uncultured bacterium. RNAcentral's name for it is "partial 16S ribosomal RNA". It matches the Rfam family "Bacterial small subunit ribosomal RNA", at positions 524 to 776 of the family's 1533-position model. The record is from RNAcentral.